Molecule: ribosomal RNA, 250 nt
Filed under: uncultured bacterium
Lineage: Bacteria
Description: partial 16S ribosomal RNA
Rfam family: Bacterial small subunit ribosomal RNA
Source: RNAcentral
UACGGGGGGGGCUAGCGUUGUUCGGAAUUACUGGGCGUAAAGGGCUCGUAGGCGGCCUGUCAAGUCGGACGUGAAAUCCCCCGGCUCAACCUGGGAACUGCGUCCGAUACUGGCUGGCUUGAAUCCGGGAGAGGGAUGCGGAAUUCCAGGUGUAGCGGUGAAAUGCGUAGAUAUCUGGAGGAACACCGGUGGCGAAGGCGGCAUCCUGGACCGGGAUUGACGCUGAGGAGCGAAAGCCAGGGGAGCAAAC